Molecule: long non-coding RNA, 207 nt
Filed under: Bos indicus x Bos taurus (hybrid cattle)
Lineage: Eukaryota; Metazoa; Chordata; Mammalia; Artiodactyla; Bovidae
Description: lncRNA (ENSBIXG00005008363.1)
Source: RNAcentral
GAGUACAUGAAAUAACGUCAGCUGUAUCAGCCAUAUGCCAGACACACCACCAGGUAACAGCACAUACUCCUACAGAGUCUGAAUUCCAUCUGAAUUCCAUCUAAACACAGGCAUCAGGGUCAGUGGAUUCUCAGCAGAACUGAACUCUUUGAAGAGAGAACCAUGAGUGUGGAGCACAGAGACUGACACGCCAGAGACGGCCGUGAA